UGGGGAAUAUUGGGCAAUGGAGGCAACUCUGACCCAGCAACGCCGCGUGAAUGAAGAAGGCCUUCGGGUUGUAAAGUUCUUUAAUGGGGAACGAAGAAAGUGACGGUACCCCAAGAAUAAGCCACGGCUAACUACGUGCCAGCAGCCGCGGUAAUACGUAGGUGGCAAGCGUUGUCCGGAAUGACUGGGCGUAAAGGGAGCGUAGGCGGCGCAACAAGUUAGGAGUGAAAUCCCGGGGCUUAACCCCGGAACUGCUUUUAAAACUGUUGUGCUUGAGUGAUGGAGAGGAAAGCGGAAUUCCUAGUGUAGCGGUGGAAUGCGUAGAUAUUAGGAGGAACACCAGAGGCGAAGGCGGCUUUCUGGACAUUAACUGACGCUGAGGCUCGAAAGCGUGGGGAGCAAACAGG
Molecule: ribosomal RNA, 407 nt
Filed under: uncultured bacterium
Lineage: Bacteria
Description: bacterial SSU rRNA
Rfam family: Bacterial small subunit ribosomal RNA
Source: RNAcentral